UGCAAGUCGAACGGAAUCUUUCGGGAUUCAGUGGCGGACGGGUGAGUAACGCGUGAGAAUCUGCCUUCAGGUUCGGGACAACAGCUGGAAACGGCUGCUAAUACCGGAUGUGCCGAGAGGUGAAAGCUUUAGUGCCUGGAGAUGAGCUCGCGUCUGAUUAGCUAGUAGGAGUGGUAACGGCACCCCUAGGCGACGAUCAGUAGCUGGUCUGAGAGGAUGAUCAGCCACACUGGGACUGAGACACGGCCCAGACUCCUACGGGAGGCAGCAGUGGGGAAUUUUCCGCAAUGGGCGCAAGCCUGACGGAGCAAGACCGCGUGAGGGAAGAAGGUCUGUGGAUUGUAAACCUCUUUUGACAGGGAAGAAGACAGUGACGGUACCUGUCGAAUCAGCAUCGGCUAACUCCGUGCCAGCAGCCGCGGUAAUACGGAGGAUGCAAGCGUUAUCCGGAUUUAUUGGGCGUAAAGCGUCCGCAGGUGGUUAUUCAAGUCUGCUGUUAAAGCGCGAGGCUUAACUUCGUACAGGCAGUGGAAACUGGAUGACUGGAGUAUGGUAGGGGUAGCGGGAAUUCCCAGUGUAGCGGUGAAAUGCGUAGAUAUUGGGAAGAACACCAGCGGCGAAAGUGCGCUACUGGGCCAUUACUGACACUCAUGGACGAAAGCUAGGGGAGCGAAAGGGAUUAGAUACCCCUGUAGUCCUAGCUGUAACGAUGGGUACUAGGUGUUGACCGUAUCGACCCGGUCAGUGCCGUAGCUAACGCGUUAAGUACCCCGCCUGGGGAGUAUGCACGCAAGUGUGAAACUCAAAGGAAUUGACGGGGGCCCGCACAAGCGGUGGAGUAUGUGGUUUAAUUCGAUGCAACGCGAAAACCUUACAGGGCUUGACAUGUCGGAAU
Molecule: ribosomal RNA, 895 nt
Filed under: uncultured cyanobacterium
Lineage: Bacteria; Bacillati; Cyanobacteriota
Description: bacterial SSU rRNA
Rfam family: Bacterial small subunit ribosomal RNA
Source: RNAcentral